This is an RNA transcript of Cajanus cajan (pigeon pea), 3021 nucleotides long. It is a transcript of the gene named FTSH protease 11, with no coding region annotated. The record is from RefSeq and is a predicted model, not a curated record. NCBI's taxonomy places the organism in Eukaryota, Viridiplantae, Streptophyta, Magnoliopsida, Fabales, Fabaceae.
GGGGCAAGAAACGAACAUUUACGAUGGAAGGCAGGCAGCAUUUGGAAAAUUGUGAUAAAUAAAAUCCACAUCACAGUUCACAGUUCACAGUUCACAGACACACAAAAUUUCCCAAGCCGGCGCCAAUUUGAAUGAAUCCCCGGAUAAGGUUUUACUUUUCCUUCCUUCUUCCCCAAAUCCUCCUCUCCCAACAAACUCUGAAAUAAAACCCUAAUAAUGGCCACACUCCAAGCUUCCCUCCUCUCCAAACCUUCCCUCCCAUUCCCAUUCCCAUUCCUCUCUCCCAACCACUCUCCAUUCUCCCUCGCCUUCCCCCCCACGCGCCGCGUCCCCUCCACGCUCCUCUGCUGCACCUUUCGCCCCGACAGCGUCGCCUCCGAACCCAAUCACAACCCCUCCGAGCCCGAGCCUGAGCCCGAACCAAGUACCGAACCGGACCCCAGCGCGGGUGUAAAUUCGACGGAAGAAGGUGCAGUCGCGGUUUUGGAUUCUCCGAGCGAGGCGAGUUUGGAAAGGGUGGAGACUGCGCUGCGGAGUGAAGCGGAUUUGGAGAGCGAAGGGAAGAUUGCGAGUGGAAGGUUUUCGUUAGUGGUGUUCUUUGUGGGACUGUGGGUGAAGGCUAGGGAGCGUGUGAAGAAGGCUUUCGCGGAGUUUCUUGAUUGGUGGCCGUUUUGGCGUCAGGAGAAGCGCCUUGAGCGGUUGAUCGUCGACGCCGACGCGAAUCCGCAAGAUGCUGCCAAACAGAGUGCUCUGUUUGUUGAGCUCAAUAAGCACAGUCCUGAAUCUGUCAUCAAGCGGUUUGAACAAAGGGAUCGAGCUGUGGACAGUAAAGGCGUUGCUGAAUAUCUUCGAGCUCUUGUGGUCACUAAUGCUAUUAGUGAAUAUCUUCCAGAUGAGGAGUCUGGAAAAGCUUCCAGCCUUCCUACCCUGUUGCAAGAGUUGAAGCAGCGUGCAUUGGGUAACUCAGAUGAGACUUUUCUUAGCCCUGGGAUAUCUGAGAAGCAGCCAUUACACGUGGUUAUGGUUGAUCCAAAAGUAUCAAAUAAAUCACGUUUUGCACAAGAACUUAUCUCAACUAUUUUGUUUACUGUAGCUGUGGGGUUGGUCUGGUUUAUGGGUGCUGCUGCACUUCAAAAAUACAUAGGAAGCUUGGGUGGCAUUGGACCUUCAGGAGUUGGGUCAAGUUCUUCCUAUGCCCCAAAGGAGUUAAAUAAGGAAGUGAUGCCAGAAAAGAAUGUAAAAACUUUUAAGGAUGUCAAAGGUUGUGACGAUGCAAAGCAAGAACUUGAGGAAGUUGUGGAGUACCUAAAAAAUCCAUCAAAGUUUACACGCCUUGGAGGAAAGUUGCCAAAGGGGAUUCUUUUGACAGGAGCACCUGGAACUGGAAAAACUCUGCUAGCUAAGGCUAUCGCUGGAGAAGCUGGUGUUCCGUUUUUCUAUCGAGCAGGCUCUGAAUUUGAGGAGAUGUUUGUGGGAGUUGGUGCUCGACGUGUAAGAUCCUUAUUUCAAGCAGCCAAAAAGAAGGCUCCUUGUAUCAUUUUCAUUGAUGAAAUUGAUGCUGUUGGAUCAACAAGAAAACAAUGGGAGGGCCAUACAAAGAAGACAUUACAUCAGCUACUUGUUGAAAUGGAUGGGUUUGAGCAGAAUGAGGGAAUAAUAUUAAUGGCUGCAACAAACUUGCCUGAUAUUCUUGAUCCAGCUUUAACAAGGCCUGGCAGAUUUGAUCGGCAUAUUGUUGUACCAAAUCCAGAUGUACGUGGCCGGCAAGAAAUAUUGGAGCUCUAUCUGCAAGAUAAACCUAUAGCUGAUGAUGUAGAUAUUAAAGCAAUAGCUCGCGGUACCCCAGGGUUCAAUGGGGCAGAUCUUGCAAACUUGGUAAACGUUGCUGCCAUUAAAGCUGCAGUAGAAGGUGCGGAAAAAGUAACAGCUACACAGUUGGAGUUUGCAAAAGACAGAAUAAUUAUGGGUACUGAGCGGAAAACAAUGUUUAUAUCUGAAGAUUCAAAGAAGCUUACUGCUUAUCAUGAGAGCGGCCAUGCAAUUGUUGCCCUUAACACUGAAGGUGCACAUCCAAUACACAAGGCAACAAUCAUGCCACGUGGAUCUGCUUUAGGAAUGGUCACUCAGCUUCCCUCAAGUGAUGAGACAUCAAUAAGUAAGAAACAGUUGUUAGCUCGCCUUGAUGUUUGUAUGGGAGGAAGGGUUGCAGAAGAGCUUAUCUUUGGUCGUGAUUAUGUCACAACUGGAGCAAGUAGUGAUCUCCACACUGCUACUGAGCUUGCCCAAUACAUGGUAUCAAAUUGUGGGAUGAGUGAUGCAAUUGGGCCAGUUCAUAUAAAAGAGCGACCAAGUUCUGAAAUGCAGUCACGUAUUGAUGCAGAGGUUGUGAAACUCCUUCGAGAGGCAUAUGAUCGUGUGAAGGCCCUUUUGAAGAAGCAUGAGAAGGCAUUACAUGUGCUAGCAAAUGCACUUUUAGAGUAUGAGACGCUUAGUGCAGAAGAAAUCAGGAGAAUACUUCUCCCAUAUCGGGAAGGAAGGGUGCCAGAACAACAGGAACAAGAAGCAGCAGAAGGGGAUCUUGUAUUGGUGUAAUUUUUCUCUCCACUUCUUGUCCAUUACUGUACUAAUUUUAGGGGAAGCUCUGUACAGUACACCUAGAAGCGCUACAGGAAAAAAGAUAUACAACGAUGGAUAUCUGCGAAGCAACUUUUCCUGCUUACAAUGGCAAAGGUCAGCUAUUAGAGUACAAUCGCCCUUGCUGAGGCCCGAGGGCAAUAUUUUUUGGUGAGAACUAUGUAUUAUGUAGGAAUUGGACAUUUUGACAAUUGUGUUUGAUAGCCUAUGCAUUCAUAUUUUUUUUAAGAAUUUCUUCAAGAAUCCAGUGACCUGUGUCUAGUGGAAUACGUUGUAAGACCCUACAAGCCUGGCCACUGAUGACUGCAACUUUGCGUAAGCUGUGUAGCAUAUACUGCAUGAGUUUAAUUAACAGCAAUAUCAAAUAAUAGUUGGAAGUGUUACGAA